Molecule: ribosomal RNA, 523 nt
Filed under: uncultured bacterium
Lineage: Bacteria
Description: partial 16S ribosomal RNA
Rfam family: Bacterial small subunit ribosomal RNA
Source: RNAcentral
ACUCAAAUGAAUUGACGGGGACCCGCACAAGCGGUGGAACAUGUGGUUUAAUUCGAUGCUACGCGAAGAACCUCACCAGGACUUGACAUACAGGAAGUAGUGAAAUGAAAGUGGAACCACCCGUUAAGUCGGGAGCCUGUACAGGUGCUGCAUGGCUGUCGUCAGCUCGUGUCGUGAGAUGUUGGGUUAAGUCCCGCAACGAGCGCAACCAUUACCCUAUGUUGCUACCUCUUUUUAUUAUCGAAAGAUAAUUGGAGAGCGCACUCUUAGGGGACUGCCUGGGAUAACCAGGAGGAAGGUGGAGAUGACGUCAAGUCAGUACGGCCUUUAUGUUCUGGGCUACACACGUGUUACAAUGGUUGAUACAGAGAGUCGCCAACUCGCAAGAGGGAGCCAAUCUCAAAAAAUCAAUCUCAGUUCGGAUUGGAGUCUGCAAUUCGACUCCAUGAAGCCGGAAUCGCUAGUAAUGGGAGAUCAGCUCGCUCCCGUGAAUACGUUCCCGGGUCUUGUACACACCGCCCGU